RNAcentral lists this ribosomal RNA (612 nucleotides) under Pentaplacodinium lapazense. RNAcentral describes it as "Pentaplacodinium sp. HGu-2022a partial large subunit ribosomal RNA". It matches the Rfam family "Eukaryotic large subunit ribosomal RNA", at positions 100 to 658 of the family's 3401-position model. The record is from RNAcentral. Lineage: Eukaryota; Dinophyceae; Gonyaulacales; Protoceratiaceae.
AGGAUUAGCUCAACAUGAAAAUUGGGGCUUCUGGCCUUGAAUUGUAGUUUGAAGAUGCAUUUGCCAAUGGACAUGAUAAUGAAAGCCUUUUGGGAAAAAGCAUCAACGAGGGUGAGAAUCCUUCUUGACAUUUCAAUUGUCCAUGUACGGUGUGCAUUGAAGAUUCACGUUCCUUGGGAUUUGAACGCAAACUUGUUGGUAAAUUUCAUUUAAAGCUAAAUAUUGGUUUGAGACCGAUAGAAAACAAGUACCAUGAGGGAAAAGUGAAAAGGACUUUGAAAAGAAAGUUAAAAGUGCUUGAAAUUGCUGAAGAGGAAGCGGGUGUAUUUCAAACACAAUUUUCAAGAUUGUUGUGCAUAUCUGUGAUUUCUUGUUGUUUUGACUUCAUCGCAGCAACAAGACUGAUCUGUGACUGCACAAUGUUGCUUGUGUUUUGUGCCAUCAUCGAUUCACAGCUAAAGAAACAGCCUGAAAAUGACGAUUUGCUCUUGUGCAAAUGAAUGUUUGGGUGUAGAUUUAGCUUGUGGACCGUCUGUCUUCCUGUUGUGUUGAUACCUUGGUGUCCACAACAUGAAAAUGAUGGCCAAAGAAAUACAUUCGGCCCGUCUUGAA